This 440-nucleotide ribosomal RNA is filed under the name uncultured bacterium. Its description in RNAcentral is "partial 16S ribosomal RNA". It matches the Rfam family "Bacterial small subunit ribosomal RNA", at positions 338 to 795 of the family's 1533-position model. The record is from RNAcentral.
CCUACGGGGGGCAGCAGUGGGGGAUAUUGCACAAUGGGGGGAACCCUGAUGCAGCGACGCCGCGUGGGUGAAGGAGCGUUUCGGCGCGUAAAGCCCUAUCGGCAGGGAAGAAAAUGACGGUACCUGACUAAGAAGCCCCGGCUAACUACGUGCCAGCAGCCGCGGUAAUACGUAGGGGGCAAGCGUUAUCCGGAUUUACUGGGCGUAAAGGGAGCGUAGACGGGGUAGCAAGUCCGAUGGGAAAGGUUGGGGCCCAACCCCGGGACUGCAUUGGAAACUGUUGAACUGGAGUACAGGAGAGGUAGGCGGAAUGCCUGGUGUAGCGGUGAAAUGCAUAGAUAUUAGGAGGAACACCAGUGGCGAAGGCAGCUUACUGGACUGUAACUGACGUUGAGGCUCGAAAGCGUGGGGAGCGAACAGGAUUAGAUACCCGUGUAGUC